CUGUUAUAAAAAGCUGUUUGCUGUUUGGUAACUACAUUUAUAAAGUACUGUGGCACUUUAACAUAUGUUUGAUAAACAAACUGAGAAAGUACUUUUGUAUGACAAAAUUACCAUAAAAGAUAUUGCAUAGUAUUAUACAACAGAACAUAAUAAAACAUAACAUAUAUUAAUACAUAAAUAUACGAUAUAGUAUAAUAUUAUUAUAAUAUAAAAUAUAUUAUU
Molecule: long non-coding RNA, 222 nt
Filed under: Phoenix dactylifera (date palm)
Lineage: Eukaryota; Viridiplantae; Streptophyta; Magnoliopsida; Arecales; Arecaceae
Description: long non-coding RNA (PDAC_LNC007070)
Source: RNAcentral